This 332-nucleotide ribosomal RNA is filed under the name uncultured bacterium. Its description in RNAcentral is "bacterial SSU rRNA". It matches the Rfam family "Bacterial small subunit ribosomal RNA", at positions 72 to 422 of the family's 1533-position model. The record is from RNAcentral.
AGCCACCUUCGGGUGGUGGACAGUGGCAGACGGGUGAGUAACGCGUGGGAACGUGCCUUUCGGUUCGGAAUAACCCAGGGAAACUUGGGCUAAUACCGGAUACGCCCUUCGGGGGAAAGAUUCAUUGCCGAAAGAUUGGCCCGCGUCGGAUUAGCUAGUUGGUGGGGUAAUGGCUCACCAAGGCGACGAUCCGUAGCUGGUCUGAGAGGAUGACCAGCCACACUGGGACUGAGACACGGCCCAGACUCCUACGGGAGGCAGCAGUGGGGAAUAUUGGACAAUGGGCGCAAGCCUGAUCCAGCCAUGCCGCGUGGGUGAAGAAGGCCUUAGGG